Molecule: ribosomal RNA, 505 nt
Filed under: uncultured bacterium
Lineage: Bacteria
Description: partial 16S ribosomal RNA
Rfam family: Bacterial small subunit ribosomal RNA
Source: RNAcentral
AGUGAACGCUGGCGGUAGGCCUAACACAUGCAAGUCGAACGGCAGCACAGGAGAGCUUGCUCUCUGGGUGGCGAGUGGCGGACGGGUGAGGAAUACAUCGGAAUCUACUCUGUCGUGGGGGAUAACGUAGGGAAACUUACGCUAAUACCGCAUACGACCUACGGGUGAAAGCAGGGGAUCUUCGGACCUUGCGCGAGUGAAUGAGCCGAUGUCGGAGUAGCUAGUUGGCGGGGUAAAGGCCCACCAAGGCGACGAUCCGUAGCUGGUCUGAGAGGAUGAUCAGCCACACUGGAACUGAGACACGGUCCAGACUCCUACGGGAGGCAGCAGUGGGGAAUAUUGGACAAUGGGCGCAAGCCUGAUCCAGCCAUACCGCGUGGGUGAAGAUGGCCUUCGGGUUGUAAAGCCCUUUUGUUGGGAAAGAAAUCCAGCUGGCUAAUACCCGGUUGGGAUGACGGUACCCAAAGAAUAAGCACCGGCUAACUUCGUGCCAGCAGCCGCGAUA